ACAACAACUUAUUGUGAAGCUGGUUUCUGAACCUUUCCUGGCCAGUUCAUCCGCUGCAUCGUUUCCUCUUGAUCCACUAUGCCCCUUUAUCCAUUAUACUGUUACUUUGUUGCCUUCUUUGCUCACUUCAGUGAGGCCUCGAUGUCAUUCAAGUAUGAGUUCCGAUGUAAGUUUGUAGCUACCUAGUGCUUGCAGUACUGAUUUACUGUCUGACAGUAUUAGUAUAUUUUCUUGUUUUACUUCUCGUCUUUUUAUCGCUUUGCAAGCUUCCAUUAUUCCUACACAUUCAGCUUGGAAUCCCGUAUUGUGUUCCCAGUGUAACCCAGGGGUUUUGAGAUGUAUAUGUUCAGGUCCUCCGAGAAGACACCACAUCCGGUCCCUUCAUUUGUUUUUGAGCCAUCUGUGGAUAUUCUUAAAUUUGUUUGGUAUAGUCCUUGUACAAAAAGAAACAUAAAACAUGAAAGAACACACAUCAUUAGUACAAAGGCGAACUUAUCAUGUAAUUCAUGUAUGCGGCACCGCGAUAUAAUACAUUCGGUAAAGACACACUGAAAGAAAACGAACUUAAAGAUGUUCUUCUGUUCUGCAGGAAAACAAGAAGAUUCGAGGAGAAUGGUGUGGCACUUAAUGCCGCCGGGACAGUAACCUAGCUGCAGCUCCAACUCUAGGGAAUUGGGCUGAAUGAACGCAACACGUGAUCGACAGCCCACCUGCUUCCUGCCGAGCGUCCCUACACUACAUCUACAUGGAUUCGCUUAUUCUGCUCUACAAAACUUCUAAAACAAUACAAAUAAUACAGGAAGAAGAGAUUAAACAACAGGCGGUCUUAUCGCUAAAAAGCGAUCUCUUCCAGACAACCUUACUACUUUUGAGGUUAGAACAACCCACGAAAACAUUUAAUGUAAAGUGUUGCCAAGACUAGUUGCAUAAAGCUUUUACACUAAAAAAGUUAUGAGAUCCCGUAGUAGGUACCAAGACUUUUACUCUGUCAUUCCUAACUUUAUAAGCUCUAACAGUAUAAAGCCAACAUCUUGGUCAAACAGUACGGCUUGGCCGUUUCGUUGGUGUCAUACUCAUAUGGACAAUCCCGUAAUGACACUUUCAGAAUUUGAAAGACCUUUGUUGCUACUUUGUACAACAAGUCCACUGAGGGAGUGUUUGUAAAAACGACAUAUCAGUUUAUAUAAACUACGAUAAUACAAGGUCAUAUAAGCAGGCAUAAUUUUAAAACAUUUAACAUUUAGGUUUUCAGAAAAGUUACGUACCUAUUUCUAGCGACAUCUAUGUAUGUAGGGCCUAUAUAAAAUAAGCCAGGAAAGUUAUGAAAGUGAAUUAAAGUUCAUGUUGCACUGAUAAAAUCAUUUUAAACAAAUAUUCUAAAUAUAAUUAUUCUCAAAUUUCAGGAGCUGAUACAAGCAGCCAGAAUGAGUCUCUGCUGAGUCGCCGGCGCCGGACGUGCGUCGCGCGCCUCGGGCGACUGACGUCUUCGUGUGAGUCGCCAAUUGCAGGGGAAGAUACGAAUAGUUAGGUAUAAAAGCUACUUUAGUCAACCUCGCCUCAGUACUGUUUGUAUUGACUGAAAUACAAGUAGCAUAUAUGAGACGUUCGGACGUAUCCGUGAAAAUACGAAGGUAAAGGAAAUUGCACUACAUUUUUAGAACCUAUUCACCUGUCAGUAAGAUAUUGAAAAGGAAAGUUCAUGAGUUUUAUUAUUUUCUUUCCUCCAACAGCUUCACAUGGAGCAAAUGUAAACCUUUUAUGUUAAUAAUAUCAGUAAUGUCAAGGUACAACGCUCUUUAGAGCAUAUUGCCAUUCCUUUUACUCGAGUGGCCUGUGGGUUAACUAUACGAAGCGAGCCUACGAUGCAUUAAAAGUGCAGUAUAACAAUGCAUUCAGAAUGCUGUUGGGCUUACCUCGUAGAUGUAGUGCAUCUGGCAUGUUUUGCGAAGCUAGAAGUUUUCUGGCAAUCAUGCGCAAGAAAAUAGUAUCUCUGCUAGGUCGAGUUAGAAGCAGUCCCAAACAUACAUGUUCGAAAAGUAGAACUCCCUUAGUAGGCCAAGCAAUAAGAAGUUAUAGAGGGAAAUGCUAGGAACACAAUUUUUGACUACGUAACUUUGUUUGGACUAGUUAGGAGGUGAACAUAUCAAAAGUCCCCGGCUGUAGCCCCGGUACUGGGGGGUAGACUAGUUAUAGUCCAAACAAAGUUACGGAGUCAAAAACUGUGUUCCUAGCAUUUCCCUCUACAACGUUUUUUGAGCAUUCAUUUCCUGACCUAUAGAUCGUGUUUCAAUUUAUCGCCUCUCGUUGGCAAUUAAGGUGGUUCGCUUUCCAUACAAAAAAAAAACAAUUACAUAAGUACCUAAUAGUGUGUAAUUACUUAAUAUAACGCAAUUGUUUUUUGUAUGGAAAGCGAACCACCUUAACUAUUCGCACAACGUUUUGUAGUUGCAGUAAGUACUUACAUAUGGCCGGUUAAAUUUUCGAAAUAGGUAUGUAUUUACGUACAGUGCUAAUUGCCGCACAUAGAAUAAUUAAAGUUUGAUCAAUCGGAAUAUGUUCCUAAGUCACUUAUUACAUUUCGAAUUAUAAGUCUGUAUUUUACAGCUUUAGAUGUGCAUGACUGCAUAUGCACAUCUAAAGCUGAAAAAUGCUUUCAUGAAAUUAUGGCUAAAUUAUGUUAAUAGGGACAAAUGUAUCAUUUUCAACCAAAUGGGUUCUUAUUAUCUGUUGUCAAUAAGGCGCUAUUUCCAUAAAGCUUCAAUUUGAAAUCAGCCUCGUCGACAACCGACAAUGUUAACCUUUUGGUUGAAAACGUCACAAAUUAUGGCGAUAGAGAAUACAAUGUUCUGUUGCCAGAGUGCAGCACUAGUAAAACCCGUAAACGAGUGAAUUGCAAAAAAGUGUAGGUAACACAAUGGAAUAUUCACAAAAAUAUGAAAGAAUGUAACACAAAAUGAAGAAAAUGUAUGUGUUUUUUUUGUGUUACGUCACACAAAGGACGCCAAAAUCGACGCCGCAAUAUUUUUCACGACGUGUAGAAUAAAAGUGGCGUCGAAUUCAGGAAUCCGCAAAUACUAUGGUAGCCGAUAGCCAAGUAAUUUAUCAAUAGAACAAUGUUAAAACAGUAGUAGAAACGGUGAGCUUUGCAAACUUUUAGUAGAUUGGUUUGGUUUUGGUAGAUUUCUCGGUUUGGCAUGCUUGAUGCUCUUCACAUCACCACAGACGGAGGUCGACAGUUCGAAUCUGUCUUGUUCAACCAAUUGAUGGAGGCACAUGCACGCAUACGAAGUAUACGAACCACAUAUUACACUACCAUCCUGGAGCUAAUUGGAUUAUUUGCAUCUACUAUUAUAGUAUAUACCUAUGCCUUAUUUUUACGCCUAAGACCUUAAGCUUUUAACAAAAACCAUUAUUUCUUUUAUACCUACGGGCGGUUUAGCUCCCGUACCUACCUCUAUUAUACCUAGCCACGUGCUAAAGCAACAAUGUCCUUUAAAUCCGUAUCCCGUAUCGUGAUAGUAUUAAGAUUCAACUCGUCUACAUCGAGGUACCCGCCCCCGCCCCGCAGUAACAGUUAUCUGUUUCACUCGGGGGCAAAGUUGUUGUUCAAUCGCUCGUGCUAAUAUUGAUACCCGAGCAAGCGAAAGAUUCCAAAAUUGAACCGAUAGCGUAGCGAGUGGUUAAAAAAAUGGAAUCUUGAGCGUUGCGAGGGUUUCGAAGCGCGAGGGUUAAACAAAAUUUGCUCCCGAGUGAAACACAAAAUGUUUCACCACACCGACCCGAAGCAAAUAUUAAAUGUAAAAUAUCAAACAAAAUCAAAUCCAAAUUAAUGUUACCUAUUAAAUAUUUAUCAUCCAAAAUCAUCAUAAAAGUCAGUUCUACCAGCAAACAUAAGAAAACAACUCAAAAUUUGCAUUUGAUUACUUUGCCUCACAUGUGAAUAAAAUGCAACUUUGCUAUCAGUUUUUGAAGUGCUAAGAAAGCCUUUCCGAGUAGGUGUGGUGAAAAAUAUAAUGUUCUAAUGCUGAAACGUAUCACUAUCACUGUUUAGUUAGAACAACAUGAACCUCAUAGAACCCUCUUUCAAGUGCUAUUGAAAGAGGCGGCUAUACAGGGCCUGGGGCCUAGGGCGGCGAAUAGUUAUUUACGAUACAAGUGCGGAAAAGAGGAAAUUCGAACGAGUGGCGAUAAAUUAAAACACGACCGAAGGGAGUGUUUUAAAUCCACACGAUUUGCAAAUUACCUAUUCGCACGUGUAUCGUACAACGUUUUACAGUACAUGGCCCUUUAAGCUUUUGACAUACGCACGAAAAGUGCUAUUUUACGCACUAGUGCGGGAAAAUAGGACCAUAAUUAUAUACUUUAAAUGAUAUUUUUAUUAUUAAUUUGUAUAAAUGAAUGUCAUUAGUCAUUGCCUACAUUAAAUGUACUUAAUCUAUGCUUCCAUAAAUAUAUUUACUAUCAUUAUCAAUAUAUUACAAGACGUUGCACAUA
This is a long non-coding RNA of Cydia fagiglandana, 4494 nucleotides long. RefSeq lists it as uncharacterized. The record is from RefSeq and is a predicted model, not a curated record. The transcript is spliced from 2 exons. NCBI's taxonomy places the organism in Eukaryota, Metazoa, Arthropoda, Insecta, Lepidoptera, Tortricidae.